UACCGCAGAAUCUAGCCUGCUAUUCCAGGCUGCUUUGCCAAUGGCUGAAGCAGAAUAGUAGGUGGAGCCACGUCGGUUUAAGAGACACGUGUACAGAGGAACCAGGAAGCGACUGCCGGAAUUGGAAUAUCCGCUGUAUUUUGCAACAUCUGGGUGAUCUUAUUGAGUGUCUUCAAAUCCAGGAUUACUCAUUAUGAUACUUGGUUACAAUCCAGUGUUGCAAGCACUGCUAGGAACCUUACUGACGUGGGGAUUGACAGCUGCUGGCUCAGCACUUGUAUUUAUCUUUUCCAGUGGGCAGAGACAAAUCCUGGAUGGAAGUCUAGGCUUUGCUGCUGG
This is a long non-coding RNA of Protobothrops mucrosquamatus (brown spotted pit viper), 339 nucleotides long. RefSeq lists it as uncharacterized. The transcript is spliced from 3 exons. Lineage: Eukaryota; Metazoa; Chordata; Lepidosauria; Squamata; Viperidae. The record is from RefSeq and is a predicted model, not a curated record.